This 365-nucleotide ribosomal RNA is filed under the name uncultured marine eukaryote. RNAcentral's name for it is "SSU rRNA". It matches the Rfam family "Eukaryotic small subunit ribosomal RNA", at positions 618 to 1002 of the family's 1831-position model. The record is from RNAcentral.
GUUAAAAAGCUCGUAGUCGGAUUUUGGCUGAGAACGGCCGGUCCGCCGUUAGGUGUGCACUGACUGGUCUCAGCUUCCUGGUGAGGAGGUGUGCUUCAUCGCCACUUAGUCACCGUGGUUACUUUGAAAAAAUUAGAGUGUUCAAAGCGGGCUUACGCUUGAAUAUAUUAGCAUGGAAUAACACCAUAGGACUCCUGUCCUAUUUCGUUGGUCUCGGGACGGGAGUAAUGAUUAAGAGGAACAGUUGGGGGCAUUCGUAUUUCAUUGUCAGAGGUGAAAUUCUUGGAUUUAUGAAAGACGAACUUCUGCGAAAGCAUUUGCCAAGGAUGUUUUCAUUGAUCAAGAACGAAAGUUGGGGGCUCGAA